RNAcentral lists this ribosomal RNA (863 nucleotides) under uncultured Acidobacteriota bacterium. RNAcentral describes it as "bacterial SSU rRNA". It matches the Rfam family "Bacterial small subunit ribosomal RNA", at positions 56 to 896 of the family's 1533-position model. Lineage: Bacteria; Pseudomonadati; Acidobacteriota. The record is from RNAcentral.
UGCAAGUCGAACGCGAAAGUGCAGCAAUCCAUGAGUAGAGUGGCAAACGGGUGAGUAACGCGUGGGUGACCUGCCUUCGAGCGGGGGAUAACGUUUCGAAAGGAACGCUAAUACCGCAUGACAUCCUGCCUUUGAAGAGGUGGAGAUCAAAGCUGGGGAUCGCAAGACCUAGCACUUGAAGAGGGGCCCGCGUCUGAUUAGCUAGUUGGUGAGGUAACGGCUCACCAAGGCGACGAUCAGUAUCCGGCCUGAGAGGGCGGACGGACACACUGGGACUGAGACACGGCCCAGACUCCUACGGGAGGCAGCAGUGGGGAAUUGUUCGCAAUGGGCGCAAGCCUGACGACGCAACGCCGCGUGGAGGAUGAAGACCUUCGGGUCGUAAACUCCUUUCGAUCGAGACGAAAGACUUCCGGGUGAACAAUCCGGAAGAGUGACGGUACCGAGAGAAGAAGCCCCGGCUAACUCCGUGCCAGCAGCCGCGGUAAUACGGGGGGGGCAAGCGUUGUUCGGAAUUACUGGGCGUAAAGGGCUCGUAGGCGGCCAACUAAGUCGGACGUGAAAUCCCUCGGCUUAACCGGGGAACUGCGUCCGAUACUGGAUGGCUUGAGGUUGGGAGAGGGAUGCGGAAUUCCAGGUGUAGCGGUGAAAUGCGUAGAUAUCUGGAGGAACACCGGUGGCGAAGGCGGCAUCCUGGACCAAUUCUGACGCUGAGUGAGCGAAAGCCAGGGGAGCAAACGGGAUUAGAUACCCCGGUAGUCCUGGCCCUAAACGAUGAAUGCUUGGUGUGGCGGGUAUCGAUCCCUGCCGUGCCGAAGCUAACGCAUUAAGCAUUCCGCCUGGGGAGUACGGUCGCAAGGCUG